UAGUGGUGGGUAUAUUUGGGGUAUUUUAAGUGUGUUUGGCAGUAUUGCAGAGUGUUUUAGGUGUUAUAAGUAUGUUUUCAGUGUGCGUUGGAUGUAUUGAGGCAUAUUUGACGUAUCUUGAGUGUGGUGUGGAAGUGUUUGAGUAUUGGCGUGUGUUUUGAGUGUGUUUGGGGCAUUUUGAGGGGUUAUCAUGUAUUUUGCGACAGUUUUGAGUGUUUGAAGAGCUUUGGGUGUGUGUGGGAGUGAUUUGGGUGUAUAUUGGGUUUUUGUAGUGAGUUGUGUGCGUGUUUGGCAGCCUUUUAAGGUGGUGUAUGGUGUCUCAAGUGUGUUUUAGGACGAUUUGAAGUUGUUUUGGUGUGUGGCGCGUGUGUUGGGUGUGUGUAGAGGCUGUUUUUGUUUGCAUUGGGUGUUUCUAGUGAGUUUUGGCUGUUUAUAGAAAAAAUAAAAGAAACACGUAAAAAUAAAGAAAAUAAGGUAAAAGUAAUAAUGUAAAUGAAUACCCGUUGAAAAGGCGGAAUUGUUCAUGCACCACCACAACAAACCGAGGCGGCCCUCCCACCGGCGCUGCCGCCACAACCACCCGCUCUUGUGGCAGGGGCCGGCAGGGACGCGCUGGGACGCAUCCUCUUCACCGACCCACACAAAUACAAGGACGCCAUAUACAAGAGGUGGACACAGCGGGAAAAGAAGAAAAAAGAACUUCAACAUUAGCGGAACAAAGAACGAGAAGAAGUAAGGAGCUUCCGUUGCAACAUCUACAUCUACAUCUACCACUAAUGGCCACCGGGAUACGUGUCUUAUUUAAUGAUUUCCGAGGCCCCUGGCGGUCAUGGAGGGCGGUGAGCAGUGCCUGGGGUCAUGUUGCUUGUGUGGCCGGUGUGAAUGUGACCGGGGGCUUGGCAGGGGUGAUGGGAGGCUUGGCAAGGGUGGCAGGGGGGCGAGGUACAGCCAAUACCCCCCGGCGUACAUGCCCUCAAAACUGCAGGAGAUGGAGGACAGCGGGGAGAUGAAGGAAUUUGAGUAGCGGGCGGUCCGAGUGGCCCACAGCACCCACACCACCUCCGUACUCCACCACCCGCUUGUCAGGAAAUUCACCAACCACAUCAUGAAAACAGGAAACAAACCUCUGGCCAGGGAACUUGUCGAGAAGGUCAAAGGUCACAACUAGCCAGCCGGGAGUGGGUCAGGAUGGCACGGCUGGCUGUGGUGGUGGUGGUGGUGGUAUUGGUGUUGGCGGCAGCAGCGGCGGGAAGGCCAGACUACACGCUGUCCCAAAAUUUAUUGAAAUGUUGCAGAGUGAACAGUCCGCUUGGAAGAUUGUGUUAAGAUAU
Molecule: RNA transcript, 1331 nt
Organism: Portunus trituberculatus (swimming crab)
Lineage: Eukaryota; Metazoa; Arthropoda; Malacostraca; Decapoda; Portunidae
Exons: 5
Source: RefSeq, a predicted model, not a curated record